Hemicordylus capensis (graceful crag lizard) is the source of this 568-nucleotide long non-coding RNA. RefSeq lists it as uncharacterized. Lineage: Eukaryota; Metazoa; Chordata; Lepidosauria; Squamata; Cordylidae. The transcript is spliced from 2 exons. The record is from RefSeq and is a predicted model, not a curated record.
GGGGCGCGUUGACGAAGCCCAGCUCCCAGAAGAGCCGGAGAGAGAGAGAGAGUUGGCUCCGUGCCAGUAGUUGAUGACAACGGACGCAAUGUUCCCUCCACUUAUAUAUAGAUAUGUGUUACAGAACAACGCCGAACACGGCUUCUGGCGGCUGGCUGGGGGGAUAAACAAGACGAGAGAGACACGGAACGGGUGGAAAGGGACCGUGCUGGGGAACGGAGGCGGCAUCCCAGAUGCGCACACCCUGUGAGUAAGGCGAAGCAGAUCGGCUUACCAGGGCUGCGGAAGACAAACAGCUCCAACUGUCAACAAAAGGCUUUGCACAACUACAACAAGGCAACAGCAUUUUGGAAGCGCAAAGAGUGGCAUGAGGAGAGGAGAGUUGUCCAACAGGUCUGCACACACACAGAGUCCGCUGCCAUCUUGGAUAAACAGGUGCUGCAAGUUUCCAAAGCCCCUGAGACCUGUUUGAACGGACACAACGGUGGGACCCCGGAACCACGUGAAUCAAGGAAACCAUGCCUCCUGAUUUUCAUUUUUGACUCAUAAAUAAACUGUCGCCUAGCAA